UGGAGAGUCAAUCUCCUCCCCAAGCACUUUCUUAAAAGUCUCUCUCAUCUUUGUGCUACAGUCAGGCCUCUGGCUUAUGCUUUUUUCCUCCACAGCCCAGAUCACAAUAUAAAACGAUCUCAGGUAAUGUGUGUCGGCUUGUUGGUUAUCUGCUUUCUCAAAGGAAGAUAAACCCUAUGUCAUUCCCUGUGGAAUCUCCAAAGAAGAGAUCCCUUUUGGACGUUAAGCAGGUGCUCCGAAAACUUUUAUGGGAGGAUCGAAGGAACGAAGGAGGGGCUGAGAAGGGACUCUCCAGGGCUCUGGAACCAGUGACCACGAGGAGAUAAAAGCAAGCGGAAUCAAGGUUGAUGUCAGCGUCGCUUUGUGAGGUGAACAGGUUUCCUCUCUACUGAAUCACAGAGGUUUCCUGUUGAAAAUCCAUCACAUAUACGCUUCAAGGAUCAACACUCUCCCCUGUCCACAUCAGUCCAGAUUCUCAUGCGGUGGAGACUGGCUGUUUGAGAAACCAUAACUAAAUCUCUUGGUUUGUUUGUCUUCGCAAUGCUUCAAUUAAACCACCUUAAUGAGGCCCCAGUAGUCAAUACCAGCCUGAUGUUUUAAAAGCCUCUCCGCGUCUUUGUGCCACAGCCAGGCCUCUGGCUUCUCUCUCUCUCUCAAUUAUUACCUUAACCGUGCCCCGGAGACCUCGGGAGCCAGUUUAUUUUGACUGGGAGACUGUUAAACGGCAGGAGGCAAACCUGAGACACUGCCAGGCUGUGAUUGCCACUGCUCCACAUGGCCCGGGGCGCUGAGAAUAGCCGGGCCGCUUCCUGCUGCAGGAGGAAAUGGCGGUUUCCUCAGCUCCCGGAAACAUUACUUCCUCUCCGGUGCCUAGCUCCGUGUCAACCAAUUAGACCGCCUCUUCCCACCUCGAGCCCCCAGAGACCUGGCUCAGCCUGGAGAAGACAUCCUGUUUCCCCUGCGGAAGUGGCCAGCUUGAAGGAACCUCCAGGGUACUGGAGUGAGGCUUCCCUGAACCUCCAAACCAUAAACUAGAGGAAGGGAAAAAGCCGCCCCAGAAUGCGCCUACCACUGAUGCACGUGAGCAUGGGGGAGAACCAGCCUUCAGGGGAUGUUUCAAAACUUUGUUAAAUUACCAUUUUUUGUCAAUAAUAAAAAA
Eptesicus fuscus (big brown bat) is the source of this 1159-nucleotide long non-coding RNA. RefSeq lists it as uncharacterized. The record is from RefSeq and is a predicted model, not a curated record. NCBI's taxonomy places the organism in Eukaryota, Metazoa, Chordata, Mammalia, Chiroptera, Vespertilionidae. The transcript is spliced from 3 exons.